AGCGGGGGAAGGGCAGACCCUAUGCUGUCCCUGAAUGUUGACGGGAAGGACUUCCCCUUUCUGGUUGACACAGGUGCCACGUUUUCCACCAUCACUCCCCCUCCCGUCACAGGACUACUAUCCUCCAAGACAAUGGAAGUUGUGGGGUUUGAAGGAGUGGGACAGACUUUGGGACAGACCCCGACGGUGGCCGCCUGCAUCCAAGCUACAAUGACGGUCCUCACCAGACUGGCUGAGAAAGGGUUCAAGGUGUCAAAAGAAAAGCUACAGCUGGUAAGGACGCAGGUCUCCUUUCUGGGCAGAGUAAUCUCGCAGAAAGGAGCGGGGCUUUCCCCAGCUCACCGCACAACCAUCCUCCACCAUCCUAAACCCACUACUGUUCAGGAAAUGCUAUCAUUCCUGGGGCUCACGGGGUACAACCGCAAUUACAUCCCAAACUAUUCAGGGCUCACAGAGCCACUUAGAGCGCUAGUUAUGGACCAGGGAAUGCGUAAACUUAAAGCCACUCUCAAUUGGACUUGUCCGGCCGACCAGGCCUUCAUUUUGCUGAAACAACAACUAGCCACCGCAGCUGAUCUGGCCAUACCAGACUACACAAAACCUUUUUUCUAGAUGUUUCUGAAACAGGUCAAGUCAUGAACGGGGUCCUGUUUCAGAAAAAAGGGGGAGAAGGCUCUGAGAGAGACGAGCUAGUGAGACAUCAAAAGGGGGCUUCCCCACAAGAGAAAACAAUUUGGCAACAGAGAGGAGCAACAGAGACGAGCGGGCUCUGGAGAGGGCCAGACGGUAGAGUAAUACUUCCACCAGCCAUGCGGGGAGAUAAAUUUGCAGAAGCUGUGAUGGCCAACAAAGCCCACGGGUUGGGCCAUGUAGGGCCAGCACAGAUGUUGAGGAACUUGUGCCAUUGGUGGCACCUGUUUAUGGUAGACAUGGUACGUAACUACACUAGGACAUGCACCAUCUGCACACACCACAACCCAAAACCGACAAUCAAACCUGAGAAGGGGGCGUUCCCCAUGACAACGAAACCUGGACAAGAGAUAGUGAUAGAUUACACGGACAUGAGGGAAACAGUACGGGGGUGUCGCUACAUGUUAGUGUGUGUGGACAUGUUCACAGGGUGGCCAGAAGCCUGGCCGGCAAGAAGGGAGGACAGUCAGACAGUGUUUAGUGAACCAGAACAUUCCCAGACUCGGCUUCCCAGAGAAAAUCAAAUCAGACAAUGGGACUCACUUUAAGAACAGUGAUUUACAGAAGGUAGAGAGCUUAUUGGGCCUAAAACAUGCUUUUGGCACUGUGUACCAUCCACAGUCCCAGGAAAAGGUAGAAAGGAUGAACCAAAACUUAAAAAACAAGUUGGAUAAGAUAGGUGCACAGACUAAAUUGAACUGGGUAGAUGCACUGCCACUGGCACUCAUGACGAUUCGAUGCUUGUUAAAUCAGACCACCGGGUUCACCCCAUACGAGCUGCUGACGGGGAGACAGUUUCCAGGACCAGCCGCGGGGCCUGCGGUCCCGGAAGGGGAAAAGUGGCCCAGAGAUCACAGAGUGUAUUUUGAUGAAUUGCAAGCUCUCGUUUCAGAAUUCACCAACAGAGUCGGAGAACGGAGGGACCUGCACCCGCUGGACCAGAACCUGCCCCAGGCGGAGUGGGUGCUGCUGAAGGUCAUCAAACGAAAGUGGUCGGAGCCAAGGUGGACGGGUCCUCAUCAGGUGGUGGAGAGAACGAGUCAUGCGGGACAAAGGAGAGACCUGGUACCAUUGGAGCCAGUGUAUACCAGUGGCGACGGUGAUCUUACACAACUUGAGCAGAUACUUUGUAUUGAGGACAGCAGGGUGAUGAUACAAAGUACAUUACCACAAUGGGGUCAGUUACGGACACCCUUCCUUGUGGCUGCACAGCGUGAGGGGAUUUUUGUUUUGUUUUCUUUCAGGCUUGAAAGCUGAAAGUAAUACAGCUAACUCUUCAAAACUGCGCUGUACGUAAAUGUAUGUUUGAGUUAGAAUAUUUAAAUCUGAAAAGUGGAUUGUUAUUUACACGUUAAACCAGAGAAAUGGCGAAAGAUAAUGCUAACAACAGACCAGACACGGAACAGCCAACAACCUCUACACAUAAUCAAUCGACCACACCCCAAAAUACAAAUGAACCAACCGUUACUUUGUUACCCAGCGAUGUGCACAAUAAUCCUCAGAUACAAGGCUUAUUAACCGAGCUUAGUAACCCCCAUUUUUCACACGAUCUAGUUGACACUCCUUCGAGCUCUCUGAUGCAAA
Molecule: long non-coding RNA, 2274 nt
Organism: Esox lucius (northern pike)
Lineage: Eukaryota; Metazoa; Chordata; Actinopteri; Esociformes; Esocidae
Source: Ensembl